AGCGAACGCUGGCGGCAGGCCUAACACAUGCAAGUCGAACGGAUCCUUCGGGAUUAGUGGCGGACGGGUGAGUAACACGUGGGAACGUGCCCUUUGGUUCGGAACAACUCAGGGAAACUUGAGCUAAUACCGGAUGUGCCCUUUGGGGGAAAGAUUUAUCGCCAUUGGAGCGGCCCGCGUCUGAUUAGCUAGUUGGUGAGGUAAAGGCUCACCAAGGCGACGAACAGUAGCUGGGCUGAGAGGAUGAUCAGCCACAUUGGGACUGAGACACGGCCCAAACUCCUACGGGAGGCAGCAGUGGGGAAUCUUGCGCAAUGGGCGAAAGCCUGACGCAGCCAUGCCGCGUGAAUGAUGAAGGUCUUAGGAUUGUAAAAUUCUUUCACCGGGGACGAUAAUGACGGUACCCGGAGAAGAAGCCCCGGCUAACUUCGUGCCAGCCGCCGCCGUAA
Molecule: ribosomal RNA, 449 nt
Filed under: uncultured bacterium
Lineage: Bacteria
Description: partial 16S ribosomal RNA
Rfam family: Bacterial small subunit ribosomal RNA
Source: RNAcentral